Molecule: ribosomal RNA, 301 nt
Filed under: uncultured bacterium
Lineage: Bacteria
Description: partial 16S ribosomal RNA
Rfam family: Bacterial small subunit ribosomal RNA
Source: RNAcentral
CAGCCGCCGCGGGAACACGGAGGGAGCUAGCGUUGUUCGGAAUUACUGGGCGUAAAGCGCGCGUAGGCGGUUACUCAAGUCAGAGGUGAAAGCCCGGGGCUCAACCCCGGAACUGCCUUUGAAACUAGGUGACUAGAAUCUUGGAGAGGUCAGUGGAAUUCCGAGUGUAGAGGUGAAAUUCGUAGAUAUUCGGAAGAACACCAGUGGCGAAGGCGACUGACUGGACAAGUAUUGACGCUGAGGUGCGAAAGCGUGGGGAGCAAACAGGAUUAGAUACCCCGGUAGUCCCUGUCUCUUAUAC